RNAcentral lists this ribosomal RNA (429 nucleotides) under uncultured bacterium. RNAcentral's name for it is "bacterial SSU rRNA". It matches the Rfam family "Bacterial small subunit ribosomal RNA", at positions 355 to 776 of the family's 1533-position model. The record is from RNAcentral.
UGGGGAAUUUUGCGCAAUGGGCGAAAGCCUGACGCAGCGACGCCGCGUGUGCGAUGAAGGCCUUUGGGUCGUAAAGCACUGUCGACCGGGACGAAAACUUCGGGGCUAAUACCUCCGAAGCUUGACGGUACUGGUAAAGGAAGCACCGGCUAACUCUGUGCCAGCAGCCGCGGUAAUACAGAGGGUGCAAACGUUGCUCGGAAUCAUUGGGCGUAAAGCGCGUGUAGGCGGCUCGUUAAGUCGGUUGUGAAAACCCAUGGCUCAACCAUGGAAGGGCGUCCGAAACUGGCGAGCUAGAGUCCCGACGAGGAUGGCGGAAUUCCCAGUGUAGAGGUGAAAUUCGUAGAUAUUGGGAGGAACACCGGUGGCGAAGGCGGCCAUCUGGGAGGGCACUGACGCUGAGACGCGAAAGCGUGGGGAGCAAACAGG